CCGUAACUUGCUAGAUGCUGACGAGCGGCGGACGGGUGAGUAACGCGUAGGAAUCUACCCAGUAGCGGGGGAUAAGCCAGAGAAAUUUGGUCUAAUACCGCAUACGCCCUUCGGGGGAAAGCAGGGGCUCUUCGGACCUUGCACUAUUGGAUGAGCCUGCGUGAGAUUAGCUAGUUGGUGAGGUAAUGGCUCACCAAGGCGACGAUCUCUAGCUGGUCUGAGAGGAUGAUCAGCCACACUGGGACUGAGACACGGCCCACACUCCUACGGGAGGCAGCAGUGGGGAAUAUUGCACAAUGGGCGAAAGCCUGAUGCAGCCAUGCCGCGUGUGUGAAGAAGGCCUUAGGGUUGUAAAGCACUUUCAGUCGUGAGGAAAGGUGUGUGCUUAAUACGUACAUACUGUGACGUUAGCGACAGAAGAAGGACCGGCUAACUCCGUGCCAGCAGCCGCGGUAAUACGGAGGGUCCGAGCGUUAAUCGGAAUUACUGGGCGUAAAGCGCGCGUAGGUGGAUUGGUCAGUCAGAUGUGAAAGCCCAGGGCUCACCUUGGAACUGCAUCUGAUACUGCUAGUCUAGAAUACAGUAGAGGGUAGUGGAAUNCCUGUGU
Molecule: ribosomal RNA, 607 nt
Filed under: Neptuniibacter sp.
Lineage: Bacteria; Pseudomonadati; Pseudomonadota; Gammaproteobacteria; Oceanospirillales; Oceanospirillaceae
Description: bacterial SSU rRNA
Rfam family: Bacterial small subunit ribosomal RNA
Source: RNAcentral